AUGCGAUGAGUCGAUAGGUGGCGCAAGCCACAUAUUGAGCAUGGGAGGUCAUAUACGCAGGAGCGGACCUUGAUGAGUUGUGUGAACCUGCUCAUCACACGAAAGUGCCUUUAGUCCCCACGUUUAGUGGGGAUUUUUU
Molecule: small RNA, 139 nt
Filed under: Streptococcus intermedius B196
Lineage: Bacteria; Bacillati; Bacillota; Bacilli; Lactobacillales; Streptococcaceae
Description: MarS sRNA
Rfam family: MarS sRNA
About the family: In MarS deletion strains expression of mga and several Mga-activated genes is reduced. However, the lack of MarS increased bacterial dissemination and tolerance towards oxidative stress.
Source: Rfam by way of RNAcentral